RNAcentral lists this ribosomal RNA (723 nucleotides) under uncultured Planctomycetota bacterium. RNAcentral describes it as "bacterial SSU rRNA". It matches the Rfam family "Bacterial small subunit ribosomal RNA", at positions 36 to 751 of the family's 1533-position model. Lineage: Bacteria; Pseudomonadati; Planctomycetota. The record is from RNAcentral.
UUGGCGGCGUGGAAUUAGGCAUGCAAGUCGCGCGGGAUCUUGGUGAUUGAAGCUUCGGCUGAUUGACCCAAGUGAGAGCGGCGAAAGGGAGAGUAACGCGUAGAUACGUACCCCGAGACCCGGGAUAGCGUCGGGAAACUGGCGGUAAUACCGGAUAAUGUCUCCGGACCAAAGGUGUGAUUCCGUCUUGGGAGCGGUCUGCGUCCUAUUAGGUUGUUGGUGGGGUAAUGGCCUACCAAGCCGAAGAUGGGUAGCGGGUGUGAGAGCAUGACCCGUCUCACUGGGACUGAGACACUGCCCAGACACCUACGGGUGGCUGCAGUCGAGAAUCUUCCGCAAUGGACGAAAGUCUGACGGAGCGACGCCGCGUGCGGGAUGAAGGCCUUCGGGUUGUAAACCGCUGUCAGUUGGGAGGAAAUGCAUGGUGGCUAUCCAUCAUGCUUGACCGAUCUUCAGAGGAAGUCCGGGCUAAGUUCGUGCCAGCAGCCGCGGUAACACGAACCGGACGAACGUUAUUCGGAAUUACUGGGCUUAAAGAGUCCGUAGGCGGCUUGGUAGGUGAGGUGUGAAAUCCCACGGCUUAACCGUGGAAUUGCGCUUCAAACCACCAGGCUUGAGGGAGAUAGAGGAAAGCGGAACAGAUGGUGGAGCGGUGAAAUGCGUUGAUAUCAUCUGGAACACCGGUGGCGAAGGCGGCUUUCUGGGUCUCUUCUGACGCUGAGG